UAGGGAAUCUUCCACAAUGGGCGAAAGCCUGAUGGAGCAACGCCGCGUGUGUGAUGAAGGGUUUCGGCUCGUAAAACACUGUUGUAAGAGAAGAAUGACAUUGAGAGUAACUGUUCAGUGUGUGACGGUAUCUUACCAGAAAGGAACGGCUAAAUACGUGCCCG
This 164-nucleotide ribosomal RNA is filed under the name uncultured bacterium. Its description in RNAcentral is "partial 16S rRNA". It matches the Rfam family "Bacterial small subunit ribosomal RNA", at positions 355 to 511 of the family's 1533-position model. The record is from RNAcentral.